This 166-nucleotide ribosomal RNA is filed under the name uncultured bacterium. Its description in RNAcentral is "partial 16S ribosomal RNA". It matches the Rfam family "Bacterial small subunit ribosomal RNA", at positions 355 to 511 of the family's 1533-position model. The record is from RNAcentral.
UAGGGAAUCUUCCACAAUGGACGGAAAGUCUGAAUGGAGCAACGCCGCGUGAGUGAAGAAGGGUUUCGGCUCGUAAAACUCUGUUGUUAAAGAAGAACAUAUCUGAGAGUAACUGUUCAGGUAUUGACGGUAUUUAACCAGAAAGCCACGGCUAACUACGUGCCAG